Molecule: long non-coding RNA, 252 nt
Organism: Xenia sp. Carnegie-2017
Lineage: Eukaryota; Metazoa; Cnidaria; Anthozoa; Malacalcyonacea; Xeniidae
Exons: 3
Source: RefSeq, a predicted model, not a curated record
AAGACUUGCAGAGAUAUCGGGACAGAUUUCUGACGAGAACAAUCUUCUCACUCCAGCCAACAGAGGUUGAUCAUCGAUUAAGAUUUCAUCAAACGUUGCAGUAGUUUUCUGAAACAUAUGAAAAUUUCUUUACAUUUCUUUUGAUUAAGGGGUGGAACUUAAUAUGAGAUUCGUUAACAAAACUAAGAUAUUGCCGUGAGAAACUUGUUUCUUUCUCAGAAAGGAAGGUGUGGUUACUUAAACCUUGUCGUU